CAAUAGCGUAUAUUAAAGCUGUUGCGGUUAAAAAGCUCGUAGUUGGAUUUCUGUCAAGGACAACUGGUCCGCCCUCCGGGUGAGCACAUAGUUUGGUCUUGGCAUCUUGCUGGAAACUGUUGCUGCACUUGGCUGUGUGGCGCAGUGUCCAGCACUUUCACUUUGAGGAAAUUGGAGUGUUUCAAGCAGGCACAUGCCUUUGGACACAGUAGCAUGGAAUAAUUAGAUUGGGCCUUUGCUCCAAUUUGUCGGUUUCUGGAGCUGAGGUGAGAAUUAAUGGGGAUUGUUGGGGGCAUCCGAAUUUAGCCGUCAGAGGUGAAAUUCUUGGAUCUGCUAAAGACGGACAACUGCGAAAGCGUUUGCCCAGGAUGUUUUCAUUGA
RNAcentral lists this ribosomal RNA (381 nucleotides) under uncultured eukaryote. RNAcentral's name for it is "partial 18S ribosomal RNA". It matches the Rfam family "Eukaryotic small subunit ribosomal RNA", at positions 592 to 976 of the family's 1831-position model. The record is from RNAcentral.